Molecule: RNA transcript, 6470 nt
Organism: Chenopodium quinoa (quinoa)
Lineage: Eukaryota; Viridiplantae; Streptophyta; Magnoliopsida; Caryophyllales; Amaranthaceae
Gene name: mediator of RNA polymerase II transcription subunit 12-like
Exons: 8
Source: RefSeq, a predicted model, not a curated record
CGCCCAUCUUCGCCAUUUGGAAAGAGCACCAUCAUUUUACUUUUUUUCGCUGACAAGAAAUUAACCGAAAAAAAACGCCCAAAUUCACCAUCCUUUCAUCUCUCCCUUUCUCUCUCCUCUUGUCUUCACUCUCCCCAAACCCUAGUUCUACUGAACAGGUAAAUUAUCCCAAAUUAACUAUGUUUGCGAAUUAAUUUUGAGCUUUUUAAGGAGCAAUUCUAUUUCGAAUUCAUAUUUCAAGCAGACGAAGAACACUGAUCUUUUGAAUUUAUUGGAAAUUUUCGGCUUCGUCCGGUAAUCCAGGUUUUGUUGCAGAGUUUGCUAAGGUCAAUGGGUUUUGAUAAUGAUUGCAUUUUAAAUAUUCAAUCACUUGCUGGAGAAUACUUCUGUCCUGUGUGUCACCUUCUUGUCUACCCGAAUGAGGCUUUGCAAGCGCCAUGCACUCACCUUUACUGCAAACCUUGCCUGACUUAUGUUGUCAGCACUACACAUGCUUGUCCUUAUGAUGGAUACAGGGUGACUGAAGCCGAUUGCAAGCCACUGCUGGAGUCAAAUAAAACAUUGGCAGACACAAUUGGAAAAAUACAAGUCCAUUGCCUCUACUAUCGGACUGGAUGUACAUGGCAAGGUCCUCUAUCUGACUGCAUAUCUCAUUGUUCAACAUGUUCAUUUGGGGAGUCGCCAGUUCUAUGCAACAGAUGUGGAGUUCAGAUUGUGCACCGCCAAGUGCAAGAGCAUGCACAAAGCUGUCCUGGCGUGCAGUCUCAGGCCCAACAACCAAGUAAUGCUCAGGAUGGCACAUCCACAGGCGCUGUAGCAGAUCAAGCACAGACUGCAGCUCAGGCAGUCUUACCUGCUUCUCAAGCUCAGACAUCACAAGCUUCUGCUUCGCUUGCAUCUGGUCAGGAUAACCAAACAGUCAGUACAGCUGGGCAACCACAGGCUGCACAAGCUGCCAUGCCAACUGCUGAGCAGUGGUAUCAGCAACAGCAACAGUACCAGCAGCAAUACCAGCAGUAUUAUCAGCAGUAUCCUGGAUAUGAUCCUUACCAACAGAACUAUCAAUAUUAUUAUCAAUAUCAACAAGGAGCUCAACAGUAUCCACAGCAACCCACGCAAGGUUAUCCUCCUCAGGCAUAUGGUCAAGCUCAGACCCAGAUUUCUGGUCAAGCUCAGGCUCAACCCCAACUUCAAGCUCAGCAGCAGGCUCAGCCUCAUGCUCAGCCCCAGCCACAACAGCAGACCCAGCCACAACAGCAGACCCAGCCACAACAGCAGCCCCAAGCUCCAUCCCGAAUUGCGCAGCCUUCUGUGCAAACAAAUUUCCAACCAUCAGCCAGUGUUCAGUCCCAAGUCCAGCCAGUGGGUCAAGCGCAACCUCAAAUGCAGGUUCAGGGUCAAGCACCUCCAUCUCAUUCCCUUCCAUAUAACCAGUCUCAGCCAUUACCCCAGGCUCAACCUUAUGCUCAGCCACAGCCCAUUACUCAGCAGCAGACACCAGUGCCUCAGUACCAGCAAACUCAUCCUCAUGCCCAAUCUUAUCCACCGUCAGAAACUCAAACCCAGCAUUACCCCUACACACAGCCACAGGCUCAUUCUCAACAGAUUAUGCAGGCACCUGCCCACCCACCUUCUCAACAAAACCAGCCUUUGAAUCCCAAUUCCCAGCCUCAGACUCAGAGCGCUGUAACUGGUUACCAAUCAUAUCCGCAGCCACAGCCUCAUCCGCAAGCACAGGUGGGAGUUGCUCAUCCAAUGCAUGCAUCUGGUGCCCAGCCACAACCUCAGUACCCUGGGCAAAUACAAGGGAAGUUUCCUUCACAACCAUCUCAGAUGUAUUCUUCUCAACCUUAUUCUAAUGUGGCAGUGCAACAACAGCCAACUAUGUCAUCUGCACAAGUUCAGCCUCCAAGCGGGCCUCCAUCGCAACAGCUCCCUGUUUAUCCUCAUUCCCAGCAGCCUGGAUAUCCGUUUCAGCAUCGUCCUGGUGUGCAGGCUGCACAGCAAGCUGCUCCACAGCAGUUUGGGCAACAGCAGCCAUUCCCUGGCCAUGGUCCAUUUACACAGCCACAGCCACCUAUGGCAGCUCAAUUACAUGCUCAGGGCCCUCCUCAAAUGCUACAGCAUUCUCAGCAAAAUUAUGCACCAGGGUAUAUUGCUCAGCCUAAUAUUGCUCAAAACUAUGCAGCUAGACCAGUGACCGCACAAGGAGCUGGAUCACAACCACAUCUCCAGGCUGCUGGUGCUGGUCAGGUUAGGCCUCCACAGCUUAAUCAGGCUUACCCUAUGAGAACAGACAGUCAGCUAUCUACUGCCUCUGAACAUAAGGCUGGUCAUCCUCAACAAUUUCCAAAAGCAACGGGGGGUGAGAAGCCUCGUGAUCAAAAUGAUCCUAACAAGGAGUCUGGUGCAGGGGUUCAGGUGAUUGAAAAUAAAUUAAAAUCAGAAAAUGCCCUGGAUGGUAAUGGGAACGAGAAUGAAAGUAAAUUAGCUGCUACAGGGUCCAAUUUAUUAGGAAGUGAUAAUCAAGAACGCAAACAAAGGAUGAAGGGAGAUGCUUCAGAGGAUGCAACAGAAUUCUCAAAUGGUAAUAACACAACUAAUAUUGGUUCUGAUACCCAUAAAGAUGCCCGAAAGAAGGCUGAAGUACAAGACUUAAAGCAUGCAGCCAAAAGUGCAGGAGAUGCAGCAGCUGCUGUCUCCAAUAUGCCUCAUUCACAUUUAAACUCGCAAGUUCAUGGCACUAAUUCAUUUCCUGCCGUUGACCAGGGAAGAAAUCAAAUGCAGUCAAUGCAGUAUGGGCCUUCUGCCCAACACAGACCUGGUGCUGCGUCUAUGCCUCAGUCAACACCUCAACUUUCAAUUACUCAGCAGCCUGGGUUGGGUUCUCAACCUGGUCAAUUAAGGCCUCAAGGACCUGGACAAGCUCCCCCUAGACCGCCUUUCAAUGCAGCUGAUAUUCCCCAGACAUCUAUUCCAAAGCAUCCUCAUGGUCUUACCCCUCAUGAAAUUGCAUCCGGAGGAAAUCUGGGCCCUGCCUCAUCAGGACCCUUUGUUAGACCUGGUAAUAUGGGUUAUCAUCAAGGAAAUAUGCCACCUUACCAAGCUGGACAACCUCAUAAUCUUCCAGGGGAACCUUUUGUUGGUGUAGGGGGUAGAGAACGUGCUGAUGCUGAGCAGCGUCCUCCAUAUAUGAUGGAAAAUGAAAAGUUUCAGGCUCACAGGCCUGGAUAUUUUGAUGGUAGAAAGCCAGAUUCCCUCCCUCAUGGAUCCAUGGAUCGAGCUCCUUAUGGGCCUGCUCAUCCUGGGAUCCAGCCUGGAGCUAUGAAAUUUCCUGAGGAGCGUGGUAUGAUGGAUGAAAGGGGUAAGAUGUUUCCUGAGGAGCGUUUGAAACCCUUUCCUCACAGGGACUUUGAAGACGAUUCGAGGAAAUUCCCUAGACCUUCUCAUUUUGAAGCUGGGCCUUCAUCUAAAUAUGGUACUCAUUUGCCGUCAUCUAGACCACUUGAUCAUGGUUCUCAUAUGUUUGGUGGAGAUGGAAUGCCGAGGCCCUUUGACAAGGCGCCACAUGGACUCAAUCAUGAUUCUGGACUGAAAAGGGAUUCUGGUGUUGGUUCUGGUCCUUCAAGAUUUCUGCCUCCAUUUCAUCUUAAUGAUGCUGGUGAAAGGAGCAGAACUGCAGGGUUUCCUGAUGAUGACAUGGGGAGAGGGGAUUUUGGGCAUCGUCCUGAUUUUCCUGGACCAGCUCCUGGUCCUGGAUUUGGACGGCCCCGAAUGGAUGGUUUUCCGCCUAGAAGUCCAGGUAGGGACUUUCCAGGUUUUCCUUCUCGUACAUUUGGAGCCUUUGGGGAUGAUGUGGGAAACAAAUCACGACGUUUUGAAGGUUCCAGACCCUACAAUUUUCCCACUGAACCAUUUGGGAAAUCAAUGCACGAGAACAGGUUUCCGAUUCCACCAAAUCAUGUACAAAGGGGUGAGCUAAGUGAUCAUUUGGUUGGUGGCCCACGUAAUCCAGAUAUGUUGCCUAAUCAUUUACGAAGAGAACAUAUGGGUCCUCGAAAUAUGCACAUGGGAGAAGGGACUGCUUUUGGACUCCCUGGGGGUCAUUCCCGGAUGGGAGAACCCCCUCUGGCAGGGAAUUUUCCACGUCAUCUACCCUUUGGCGAAUCCUUUGGAGGUGAAAAGCCAGGGCACCCUCUGGUAGGAGAGCAUGGAUUCAGGGGCAGCUCUGGUUUUAAUCGUUAUGGACGUGAUGGUGGAUUUUUUCCAGAGGAGAUGGAUACUUUUGAUAACCCAAGAAAGCGGAAACCUGGAAGCAUCAUGUGCCGUAUUUGUAAAGUGGAGUGUGGAACCGUGGAAGGCUUGGACUUGCAUUCACAAUCAAGAGAGCACCAGAGAAAGGCUAGGGAUAUGGUCUUAAGCAUCAAGCAGUCAAAUAAAAAGAAACAGAAGAUAUCAAAAGAUCAAGGUUCAAUUGAAGGAAGAGAUGCAGGCAGGCCAAAGAAUUUCAGUUUUCAGGGUCGAGGAAAUAAGCGUUAAAGGCUUGAUGAUUGUUUUGGCUGACAAGCAAUCCAGUGGUUUUGUAGCUGACAGACUGAAUUUGUUCCUUCAGUAUUUUGCGUUUAGUGAAGUAGGUGAUGCAGCUUUCUGUAUCUCUUUCUUUUGCUGGUUGGUUUAUGCCAGUUUUGUCAUUUCAGGUUGCUGCUAUGUUAGUGGAGAUGGUAUUUUGGGACUGAAGUAUCAGUGGCAAUAAUGUCCACUGAAUCCGUCUUUUUCGGCGAUGCUGACAAGGAAAGGCUGAAAAGCAGAGUGGUUUACCUUGCAGUCGUCUUUAGAGUGUGGCUAGACAAUCUGGUGCAGGAUGGUGUUUCGUUCUGUUAAAGGUUUGUGAAUCUCUUGUCUGGUUUGAAGUACCUAAGGAUGCAGAUGCAGCUUUGCCAUCCCCUUUUGUCCCUAGGUGCGUUAAGAGAAUCCUAUGAGGCAUCACCUUGGGGUGUCAUGUAUUGUAUCCUCGUUACCUGUCGAAACACUGAAGGUAUGUGUGCUUCAAAUGGUUUUUGUUUUAAAUUGCCAAAAACUGUGUAUGACAGAUUUAAUUUUUCUGAAGACAAGUUAUGCUGUUAUUCGCUGGUUGUUCUCUAGGUCUACUACCGUAUGUGACCAUGGAAGAGUUCCUUUUGAUUGAACAGCCUAUUUCAUUUAGGGUGUUUGGUUCACGGCUAUUGAUUGAUAUAAUUGCAUAUUGCUAAGCUAUAAAUUAUUUUAUUUUAGUGUCUGUCCUUACUAGUUUGAUUACCGAAGACUUCUUGUGUGAAAAUUUAUCAGAAGUUAGAAUUGCCUUUGAACUUAUAUGCUACUGUUUGAUGUUUAUGGACCUCUGUUCUGAUGCUCAACUAGAAAUAAUUAAAUAAGCUGAAACUUUCUUUCGACUGUUUCUCCUUGACAUUGCUUGUCCUGAAAUUCAUUUUGUACUAUGGUGAUUCUUGGCUUCUUGCUUUCGAAAGCAUUCUUUCCUUAUAUGGGGUAGAAUUCCAUAAAUAUCUCCCUGAUUCUUCCUAGAUUUCUCAUGGCCUUUUGAACGAUUGCUUAGUGAGUGAACUACAAGCGCUCAUAGAGACAUUCUCUGAGUCUGAAUUUGCUUACUCCUAAGAGUCUAGUUCAAGACUUGACUUCUCACUGUAGAAAGUGGAUUUUAUAUGGUAUACAAGCAUUUGGACCCCUGAUGUUCCUGAACUCUUUCCCAACAUAACGUGUGGAUUGUUAGGCUAACAGAAAUUUCUUUAUGUGUUCAUUUCUAUAGAAAGUAAUACUUGUAUGUUUUUGUAGAAUUGUAGGCAAUACUUCCGUAUCCAGUUGAGAGUGUGGUUAGCACUACUCAUUAGCCAUUGAACACAAACUACUUUGUUGGGGAGGUUUUUUUUCCCCUUCUUUUGUUCUUGUUGGGAUAAAAUACCUGUUAAGUAGACAUAAUUACUGGGUAGGGUCACAAUAUUCAUGUAGGUGUGCAGUGCUGUUCUGCUGCUAAGGUGGUGGUGUUAUAGCAAGGUUGUUCUAGUGGUCAAAUUAUUGUUUUAUUGAAGCAUAAUAAUAAGUUUUUGUUUUGUUUUAUUUUUUUGGGUCGGGGGGAAGAGAGGAUAUACGAGCCUGAUUUUUUGUAAAGACUCUGUUAACUCCCCUAGAUUCAUUAGAUAGCUGAGCUUUUGCUUGUUGACAGUACUCACAAUUUGUCCUCAGUGUUUGGUGAUGCUAACCCUAACAGUUAUUUUGCAGUAUGAUUAUUUAUGUAUAUUUUGCUAGGUGUAGACAACUGAAAUCCUGCACUUUUUUGUGGAGAGGCCUCUUGAUGUCCAGCACUUGUUAUCUCAUUCGUGCAAGUUGCAACUUAUUUUUUCAUCUAAUUAUAUUUACCUGUGUGUAUUCAGUUUGUAUAUAUUAAACAGUAUGGUAAUGGAUGCAGAAAUUUGAUUUAA